This is a non-coding RNA of Triticum aestivum (bread wheat), 115 nucleotides long. NCBI's taxonomy places the organism in Eukaryota, Viridiplantae, Streptophyta, Magnoliopsida, Poales, Poaceae. The record is from Rfam.
UAUAUACUCCCUUCAUUCGGAAUUACUUGUCGCAGAAAUGGAUGUAUCUAGACGUAUUUUAGUUCUAGAUACAUCCAUUUCCGAUACAAGUAAUUUCGAACGGAGGGAGUAUUCU